UAUCAUUUUGGAGGAAAAGAUAAUCCAACGCAAAAGCAAGGGGUGACAUUGAAAAGCAAGGAAGCUUGAGUAAAAACAGGAAUGUUGUUUGACUCAUCAUCUGUGUAUGAUUCUAUCCUAGCCUCCUGACCCAUUGUCUCUUCUUGUCCAGGGGUUGCUGUGGCACUGAAGCAAGCUAUGACUCUGGAAUUUAAAGUUUAUCAACACCAGGUGGUGGCCAACUGCAGGGCUCUGUCUGAGGCCCUGACGGAGCUGGGCUACAAAAUAGUCACAGGUAGAGACACAGAUGGUGUUCAGCAGGCCUGUUCUUGUGGUUGUAUUAAGGCUUGCUUCUCAGUUUGUGCAACCAGGAUGUGGCCCAGGCUCUGCUGCUGCAGCUGCAAUGAUGGGCCCACCUUGGGAGGAGGUCAGCCUCGCCUCCAACUGGAAAGCCUCCCCCUGCCUCAGACCAGCCAGCCGCCCCCUUGGGUGAGCCACAGAUGAUGGGAAUAGUGGUUGCCAUUGGUCACCAGCAUAAGGACUGCUUGUCCUCAGAACAGCUUUGCAGGAGGAUGACCUGAGGCUCAACUGAGAGGUUGGGCUGUAGUGGUCACACACCUGGUAGGUGGCACCAGGACUGUGUGGUGAUGCCUUGCACUGUGCCAGGGGAGUGUCUUCUCUCACCCCGCUGAGCUGGGGGUGCAGGGGCUCUCCCCUCCCAGUUUCCUGCAUAUUCCUGGGGAGUUGGCUUGCUUUAGGCAUGUUUGCUUGGAUCUGUACAUUCUGGAGCUGAUGGGCUGUGAAUGAGAUGGACUUCCCAGGUCAGGGCCCCACUCUGGGGUGCCAUCCACCUCACAGUCACUGCAGCUUUCCACGGAGAACGCAUUUUUUUGGCAGGCAGCAUACUCAGUCCUCCGGAGGAAGGGCGACUUUAUACCUAGUCCCACAAGACUGCCGAUUGUGCUAGCAGUGGUGUGGUCCAGGAAUAUGGGUCCUGCUGUGUGUAGACCUGAGUGCCCACUCUCUGCACCGUGUCCUUUGCCCUUUACAGGGAUUACAGGCCCUCUGAUCUAAGGAUUGGGGAGGGAUUACAGGCCUCCUGGUCUAAGGAGUGGGGCUCCCACCCAAUCCUGCAUGUGCGGCAGUGCCUGGGAAGGCCGGGCCAGUGCUGUCUCCUCAGCAGUACCAGCCGUACCCUCUUUUAUGUUCUACUUCACUUACUUUCUGUUCUCCCUUCAUCCUCCAUGUCUUCAAAUAAUAAAGCUCAAGAAGUCCUCGUGCAGACUGUGAACUUCAGGGUGCUUUAGCUCAGGAGUCCCCAACCUCCGGGCCACGGACUAGUACUGGUUUGUGGUCUGUUAGGAACCUGGCCGCACAGCAGGAAGUGAGCUGGGCCGAGAGCAUUGCCACCUGAGCUCCGCCUCCUGUCAGAUCAGUGGCAGCAUUAGAUUCUCAGAGGAGCUGAACGCUGGUUUGAACUGCACAUGUGAGGGAUCUAGGUUGGGCCUAGACACUUUCAAGAAACUAUCUUUUUUUUCCUUCUGAUUAUACCUGCAUCCUUAUGAGAAUCUAAUGCCCGAUGAUCUGAGGUGGAAGUUUCAUCCCAAAACCAUCCCCCGAUGCCAUCCGUGAAAAAACUGUCUUCCACAUAACCAGUUCCUGGUGCCAAAAAGGUUGGGGACCACUGCUUUAGGUCCCUGUUUCUUAAACUUCAAUGUGCACACCACCCCUGGGGCUGUUGGUGCAAUGCAGAUUCUGACCAGGCCUUGGGUGAUGCUGGUCUGGGAGCCACCCUUGGAGUUGUGAGGGUUUAGGCCAUAGUCCCUGUCACCAUGGGCAUCUCAUGGCAUGGGCCUGCCCUCUCCCUGGUGACUGUGUCAUUGUCACUCUGCCAUCUGAGGACCCGAUGCACAUGGCUGAGACAGAUAAUGCUUGCAAAUGCCCUCUUUGGUGCCUGGUGCUAUGAGAAGCACUAUGUCCAGUAUCUUACUUAAACUUCAUGACAGCCCUGUGAAUUAUUGGUCUUUUUGUUACAAAUGGGCAUCUGAGGUUUCACAAUGUUGAGCUGCCUGCCUAAAGCCACACGGCAAGUGGGUGGGCACAGCUGGGGGGCUGCAAAGCCAAGCUGGAGCCCUAGCUCACCCGCAUCUUGAAAGGGAUCCCCGCAACACAGCUCAGAAGCAGAGGCCCCAGUGCUGUCAGCACCCAAGGCACUACCCCAGCUUAAUGAAGGUUCAAAGUGGAAGGAUCCUCCUGUAUGACCUCGGGCCAGGUCCAGAAAACUCUGUUAGCCUUGCUGUUGUCACCUUACCACUUUGAUAAUACCAUCAGCCUCACAGGAUCCGGGAAAAACCUACCACAGGCUACAGUGUCUGGCACCUAAUGUGCUCUGUGAACAUGCCCCUUACCCCCCAAAGUAAAUUGAACUGCUGCCCAAUAUUCAUGCUGCCUUCAGGGGAGCCUUUACCAUCAAUGUUAGGGAAUUGCCCAAGCAACUUGUCAGAGAAAACAAGCCAGGAGCAGCCUGAGGAAGCUGUCCCUUCCCCAUGGGAGUGUCAGGCCCUCUGCUGUAUGAUCAGUUACCCCUUUCAAAAGUGCUCUGUCCUUCCUUUCACAUUCUUAGGCACGGGCAUCUCUCGUGGGGAUUAGAAUCCCAGGCCAUGUGGUGGGGGUGCUCACCUUCCUGACCUCAUCUGCUUUGACUGCCUUCAUCCUCGCCUUCGUUUCUCAGAGAUUCCUUCACGGCAUAGAAUUCGCCUGCAUUUCUACAUGUCCAA
Molecule: long non-coding RNA, 2756 nt
Filed under: Homo sapiens (human)
Lineage: Eukaryota; Metazoa; Chordata; Mammalia; Primates; Hominidae
Description: non-protein coding lnc-TOP3A-2:1
Source: RNAcentral